GACGAACGCUGGCGGCGUGCUUAACACAUGCAAGUCGAACGGAAAGGCCCUGCUUUUGUGGGGUGCUCGAGUGGCGAACGGGUGAGUAACACGUGAGUAACCUGCCCUUGACUUUGGGAUAACUUCAGGAAACUGGGGCUAAUACCGGAUAGGAGCUCCUGCUGCAUGGUGGGGGUUGGAAAGUUUCGGCGGUUGGGGAUGGACUCGCGGCUUAUCAGCUUGUUGGUGGGGUAGUGGCUUACCAAGGCUUUGACGGGUAGCCGGCCUGAGAGGGUGACCGGCCACAUUGGGACUGAGAUACGGCCCAGACUCCUACGGGAGGCAGAAGUGGGGAAUAAUGCACAAUGGGCGGAAGCCUGAUGCAGCAACGCCGCGUGCGGGAUGACGGCCUUCGGGUUGUAAACCGCUUUCGCCUGUGACGAAGCGUGAGUGACGGUAAUGGGUAAAGAAGCACCGGCUAAAUACGUG
RNAcentral lists this ribosomal RNA (468 nucleotides) under uncultured bacterium. Its description in RNAcentral is "partial 16S ribosomal RNA". It matches the Rfam family "Bacterial small subunit ribosomal RNA", at positions 28 to 507 of the family's 1533-position model. The record is from RNAcentral.